CAGAGUCACAAGGCUUGAUGAUUCUUAUGAGACAGGUAGGGAUUAACUAGAUGGAGACAGAGGAGAGUGAAGUUUCAGACAAAGAGUAAAUAUUUACCAUUGUUUGGUAUAAUAUUUUAGAGAAGAUUUUUUUUCAGUGUUGUUGAGAACAAAUCUGGGGUGGGAGGUUAGAUCAGUUUGGAGCUAUUGCAAUAGUCUAGGCAGAAAAUGAUGAGGGCAUAAACUAAUACUCUAUCCAGAAGGAAUUGAUUUGAGAGCUAGUAUAACAUUUGAAUUAAUAGGACAGUGUUACCACCUAGACACUGAGGGAUACAGUGGACUCUUGGAUAGCAUAGGUGCUUUUUUAGGGGUUACUAGAUUGAUAACCAUGCCAUUUACUGAGAUAUGCACACAGGAAGUGGGUAGACUUGGGUGGAUGGUUAUGACUUUUAGAUUUAUUGAGUAUAUACCAUUUGUGGAAGAUAUAUACGAAGAGAAUGAUGAGGUGGGAUAACAUAUUGAGAUGUAAAUGAUGUUUUAAUCCCUUCUCUUGGAUUCAGUUGGUAUUCCCCUGGCCCAGGCAGCUAGGGUAUUCUGUCUACGCUGCCACAAGAGAAGAGAUGAUCAAUAUGAAGCACAGCAAAAGAGUUAAUUCUUAGGUUUAACUUCCAUAAGCCUAGGCCUUCCCAUAAAGAAAAAUUUUGAAGAAAAAAAGAAUUUUGAAAACAGAUAAAAAUAUUCCUUUUCUGCAAAUCUCUUCCCCUUCCUAGGCUAGAGAAAAUGUUAUGGGCUCCAGAAAGGGACCUCUCUUCCUCAACUCCAGAGACAUGAUUUGGCAAAUUACAGCAUUCUCUCACAACAAGCAAGGGCAGGAGCAGAAAAAAUCUUCUCCUGGUGUGUCUAGAUAGACUGGCUGGAGAUGGCUGUGCAGACAUGCCCACAACCCUGAGUGAUUUGGGAUCAAGUGAAUAUUUUCCAUGUGCCCUAGAAUGGCUCAUCCAUGGCUGAAAGUGGGCUGAAUUCAAUGAAGUCAGGAAAGAGGAGAUUGUGGCCCAGAUUUCUGUGGGUUGAUGAGUAAAGCCCAAACUGGGAACAGGGACAUCUCAGCAAAUGGCAAAGUGCAUAUGUAAACAGAUUGUUCUCAAACCCCGCAAUGUCCUCAGAAUUGAAGAGCAAGUCGAGGGAGAAGGCAGAUUGCUCCUUCAACUGAUUGAAAUGAAGUUUUCAUUAUUGGGUGAAAUGGGUUCUCAAAUACAAAUGAAGUUCAAUUCUUGAAAUAUAAAGAAAGCUCAUUUAUGUGAGGUAUAGUUUUGUAGCGUGGGAUGCACACCUGCAGUGUACGGUAUGCAAUUGGAUAUGCUCUCCUGGAAUGCAACUGAGAAAGCUCAUCUGGAGCUGUUAGCUUGGAAGGCAUCAGCGUGUCUGUGGUAGUCGAAAGCUUGGCAAGAAUCGGAUUACCUUGGUAACAUACGGAGCAAGAGAGAAAAAGGUUGAGGGCAAAAAUGUCUGAAGAACACCAAAAUUCAAACCAGCAGAAGAAGAUGACGGUCCCCUUAAAGAACACUGAGGAAGCAUUUUUAGCAGCCUGUUGUCUGAAUGUCUAACGUUGCCGGCCUUGCAUUGCAAUUCAAAAGGGCUGUCACCUAACGUGUCUAGGUUUCAUAAGAAAUGUUAUAUAUUGGUAAAAUCUUUCUUGCCUUUCAUCAUUCACAUGAUUAAGCUAAAUGACUUCUGCAGUUCUUUGUUUUAUAUUGACUUUGACUUCAGGCAGAAAGGAGAAUCUGAGCAUCGGUACACAUAAACAUUUCAAUGAGCUUUUACUUAAAAAAAGAUCAGUGUUUACCCUCCCCAAACAAGGAACAAGCAAACAGAGAAAGUAGCUAUCAAAUAACAUACAUUAGAUCAUGGGUAAGCUGUGAUUCGUCAUAAACAGCUGUAGUACAGAAUAGCGUGAAAAGUUAGAGCUUGGUAGCUGGGUAAUUCUUGAGUGUUUAUUAGAGUUUCAGUUGUCUUCGAGUAACCUAUAGCAAUAAAUCUCUGGUGCACACACUGGUAUUUUCGAGUGCUUUAGAGAUAUAGACUCUUAUUCAGGAUGAAGCGGAAGGGGCUGCCAGCACUUCAUGUGUCAGCCUUGGUAAAAACUGAUGUUCAUGUCUCACUGUCAGUUGUCACCUGGGAUGGAUUUCAGUUGCCAUUGUGAAUAUAAAAAGCUCACUAUCCCAUUAUUAAUUCCCAUGAGUUAUUUAGUCCUGUCUUUCUUUUUCUAAAGGUUAAACUCUUAUCUUUCUUCUAAAAAGUUAGAUAAUUAACAUUCUCACUUACAAUGCUUCCAUAACAUCUGUAGAUUAUGCACCAUUAAUCAAGUUCCUCUGCAGGCAUGAUUGACUUUUGCAAGCAAACUUGGCAAAUAAAUCCUUUCUGUUUAGCAAUAACUUUGUUGUUAUUAUGGCUAAAAAAUCUCUUUCUGAGAAACUCAAUUUAGAGUAACAGUCUCUAGCUACUUAAAACGAGUAUCAUAAAGCCAUAUAACAGAAAUAAGAGUAAAUGACGUAUUUUAGAAUCUUUGAGUGCUGACAUCUUUUGCAUUAGAAACUUUAGAAUUUGUGGUUUCCAAAGCAUUGCCUAUUUAUAAAACCAUUUGUAUUAACAUUUAAAGUCCCCAUUUUCAAAUGACAAAAGCAAAAAUUAAGGAUAUAUAUUUUAUUAGUGUUUUAACUUGAACUUAGAAUUCACUUGUAUGAAAAGAUAUAAAAAAUCAGAUUUUUAACAUUCUAGAAUUUCUGUGCCUGAAGUAUUUGUCAAGAGCACCUGUACAAGGCAGGUGCUGGACAUUUAUAGAAAAUAUGUCCUAGCAACGAUUUGUUCAUGGAAAAAAUCUGUUUUAUGUCUGUGAUGUUUCCUUGACAUUUUCUUUCUGCUAUAGGUUUCUUAUAAUGCCUCCUUGAUCUGUCUUAGGAGAUAGAUUGUGGGAAUUUUUUGGAAACUUUAGAGAUCUAUUAAACAUAGAAAUAAAACCUCUUCUUUUCCAUCAUAAGACCUUGUUUUCAAUUCUCUCCCUCAUGUUGCCUUCUCCUUUCUUUUUACUUCCCUGAGAAAGUGGCAGAAAAUACCAAAGCACUUUGAAGGAAAUAAAUUAAUAUAAAACUUUGGGGGGUUGGAUAACAGAAAACACACAUGAAUUGGAUCAAUAAACCUAAAUAUCAGUGUUUUAUGCCAAAAAUAUUGAUAAAACGUCUUGAUCUAAGUGACUUUUCCUCUAUAUUUGAAUAUAAUAAAAGUUUUUACAGAAAAAACGAUUGACAACCUUGACGUAGAGGCAAAUAUGUUUUUAAUCUCAGUAGUUUAGACAAAGGAUCCAGAGUUUUGAAAAAGAAAGCAGUGUAGUGCCAGUAGAUGAUGUUUAGGUGUACUGACCACAUUACAGGGUCGAGGUGUCUUCUAAAAAUGGUCAACUAGUCAAGAUCUUUGUAUAAGACUAAGGUCCUGAAAAGGUGAUACACUGAAUAAUUAGUCAUCAAGUAACUUGUCUCUAUUUAUAAAAAAAAUUGUUUGUGAAAAUAAUUACAUUUAGUGUUCACUUAAAGUUUAAUCUCUAACCAUAUCGGACCAUUCAUAAUUACCUAUAUGUUUAAAAAUCCUUAUAAAUUUGCUUAUAUUGACCUCUACCUCUUUCCUUCCGGGUGACCUGCUACUUAUUCUUAAAGAGGCAAAGAUCAUGCCUUCCUGUGAAGGUUUUGAAACCCCUUUAUUCAUAAAUAAUCUUUUUCCUUGCCAUGAUCCUCUAUUAUUUGGCACAGAGCUUAACCAAUCACUUUGCAUCCUACUUUUUUUGCCCACGUGUUUUGUUUCUCCCUGUUAAAUGUGAUCUCAGCAAGGGCCAUAUUUCAGCCAUCAUAUUCCCAGAAAUGAGCUCAGUGCCUGACACAAGCAGUUAUAGUUUAAAAAUAUAUGUGAAAGUAUAGAAAUUUAUAUUCUUAGAGUUAGAAACAAGGAGGGGCACCGUUAAUAUCUUAAGCUCAGGAAAUAUUUACUUCUUUCUCCAGCUACAAACAGCCUCCAUGAUUUAUUAUUACUUCCUAAUGGAAGACUAAAUUAAGAGGAAAAAUGACUAAGAACAGAGAUUUAAGUUGCAGACUGAUGAAACCGUACAAUUCAAACAUUAUGAGGAAAAAAGUCUGUGACUUAAAUAUUUUGUAACCUUGCACUUAAAUGAGACAUUAUUUAGAAAAAAUGGAGGAAAAAGAUCAUCAAAAUCUAAGCAUUUGAAAAAUGAGAACAUAUUUCUAGAUUUACCUUAUUUGACCUUUAACAAAUAAGCAAACACAAUGACAUCAGAGUAAGUGCUAAGGAUGUCAAGUACCAAUCUGUACUCAGAACUGAUGACCAAGCACCCUUUAAAGUGUGUUGUACCAAGAGUUUAGCAGAAGCAGACACAAGUAAUUCUACUGGAGUAUUUGUUCUCACACCUUUGGAUUUUAAAUGCACGUGUUCCUUUCAUUCUUAAGUAUACUGAAAGCAAGGUUGAACUAGGAUAUGGAGAGAAAUUGUUCUUCUAAUAAGACUUCUACUGUAAGCACAUACAACUUCUUAGCUCUAAUCUCCCUCUCCUCUUCUCCUUCCCUCCCUAUCUCUGUUUGUCUGUCUGUCUCUCUAUGUAUAUAUUCUUGUUUAGAAAAUGAUUUUGUUUGGUAUAUUUUCUUUGUUACUAUAUCCUCAAUAAGUAGAACAGUGGUCGACACACAGUAGGAACUCAAUAAGUCUUUGUGGAUGGAUAUACAUUUCUAUAUUACCAAGAUAGGUCACACAUGGAAACAGAACACAUGGUCUUUGUUUGGUAGCUGGUAAUAUCUAGAGGACUAGAAGACCUCUAAUAUACACACUCUGAUCAGUUUUACUAAACAGUCCUCCUGCUGAAAUUAGAAAUAUCUUCAUUCUAUUUUCAGUAUAAUGUUUAAUAAAGGUAAACUAAUUAUCAUACCCUGUGAGUAAGACUGUGUUGGUCUCUAUUUCCAAAGUCCAGAGGCCAAAUUGAUAUAAACAUCGGCCUAUUUCCUCUAAUAAAUCAGUUUGAACAUUGAUUGUAAUAUAAUAAAACAUAUUUUCUAGAAGAUGUAAUUAUAAAUAUUGUCAACAAGAGAGAAAUCAAGUAUUUAUUGAGCUAUCUGCAAAGCUUCCACAGCAAAGAGAAUGCUUAGCUUUAAGAGCAAUGUAUGAGAUUUAUGGGUAUCCGAUAAUCUUAACAUUUUAGAGAUGAAACUUUCAGAGUUUGAAAGUCAUUAUUUCUAGGAUCUAACCUUUUUAAAAGAGAGAAUGAGAUGAAAAACAUCUAGGUGACUGAGCAAGGACACGUAGUUAGACGGUGAGUCCUCAAGAAGGAAUCCAUGACUCCGGGCUCCCCUUCUAAUGCUCUUUUCAGUUCACCCCUAUUGUUCAGUAUACCCCGUGAUUUAAUGAAACCCACAUAUAUCCAAAUAUUAAACUAAUUUAACCACUUAUUACAAGGUAGAAUGAAAUGUCAACGUAGGUAAAAAUCAUUCAAGAAAAUCAGAGGAGGAAGCCAUGUUUUUCUUAAGUGAUGGAAAACCACAGCCUCUGUAUAUGCGUGUAUUGUGAAGAGCUCCAUCAUGUGGAAGUUUUGAGAACUUCAAUGUAGACGGUACUAGAUUUCACAAGCCCUUGGCAUUACCAUAGGCCAUGAUCUUCCUUGAUGCUGCAAUUUCUCUAGCUCUUCUUUUGGAUUUUUAUUGGUCCAUUAAAAAAAAAAUAAUGGAAAUCUCUGUUUCUGAACAGAGAAUUCUUCAGAAUGACUGUUUCUGAAGGCUAUUUUGUAGCACCUUCAACUGAUUGGGGGAUUCUGUUUGGAAGACUGAUCAGAAAUGUUAUCUUUGGAUAUUGGAGAUAAUUUUUUAAAGCACUCCAGUGUUUGAAAAAUGGUAUGUGAAUCAAUAAGUAGUUAAAAUAAUGAUGAUGACAGAGGAAAUCUUUUGGGGAAAGCAUUUCAAACUGAAUCAUUGAAUUCAUCUUUCAACAUCUUAAGGUAUCAACCAGAAAAGCAGACAAUGGAACAUAUACAAAUUAAUAUCUUGGUCAGGUGGAGAAGUUAAAAAAAUCCUUUAAUAGAACGGAAAGUGUAGCUAUUGAUUUCUUAGGAGAUAGGAUUGCUAAAGGCUGAAUUGCUUCUAUGAUUAAAUCACCAGCUUCAGCUCUGGCAUCAGUGUUUCCUUCAGUCAAAAUCACAGAGGAUAUCUGCAGAUCCCUAGAGCUGCUUCUCUGAGUAAACUAGUAAAACACAAAUAUUUCCCUGAGGGCUUUUGAUCCAGUGUUAGAUUAGCUGCCUGAAGUUGAUCAUUUCAGUUUUUCUUAGAGAGAUCUAUAGAAGCUAGUUACCUCCCUGACUUGCCCUUCUGUAUCUGAGAAUUAAAAUGGAUAAGAGUUGAAACCUCUGCAUUUAUUUAGUGCACUGCAGGGCAAGAUGGAAAGGCUGGUUCCUAAUGGAUCAGCCUUUCGUAUUUCUACCUUCUGGGUGAGAUAUUAUUGCUUUGGGUGUUUGAAAAUAUUAUACUCUAGAAAGGGAAAUUAGGUAUUUAGAGUUCAGAAUUCAUCACCAACUACUCUUUUGUCUCAUGAGUAAGAUAAACCACCAUUAAAAAAAUGAUCUUAUGAAACAGAUUACAGGCACACCAAAACCCUAAACUCGGCUUGCAAUAAUGAAAUGACUAAGAGGGGUGGGUGAAAGAGAAGGUAAGGUUUUAAACAAAUAAAUUUAUUGGACAGUCUUGACUUGGCGGUAUACAAACCCAAAAUAGUUCCACCCCCCAUCAUCGCCUUCAACCAUGCUUCGUUGAUUAUCCUUUUUCCGACCCAUAAUGACAUCUUCGGAGAUCCCAUAGAUGUCCCGUCACUUUCUGUUGUUAAAAACUGCAAUCUAGCCUUGUUGUCUUUAAAUCUCUGAUUUCAUCACCUUCUUUCCUCCCAGUGCUGACCAUGGAGCGUUGCAUUUCCACGACUUCACCCCUUUUCCCUUCUUUCUGGAUCUGUUUACUUCAUUGAUAGUGGCGGGAGAAGGCAUUGCAGAAACAGGCAAUAAUCUUUUAACCUCACUAGUACAUUUUCACUGCUGUGCGUGCUUAUGUACAUAAUGAUGGCCAGCUGUGAUGCCCUCUGUCUGGCAGGAAUCAAAUGCUGCUCUUCCAGUUACAAGCCUGACUCUUUGGGAGCCAUGAGAUAUUUCUUCCCAUCUCACCAUCCCAGAGGCAGGAGAUUUACUGGCUCUAAUUCUUCCAACCACCUUUCCCUUCUUCCCUCCACCUCCAAAAGCUCCCUGUUUGCAGCUCUCUGCUCUCUGUGGCCAGCAGAGAGGGGUGUGGUGAGGGACCAGGGAGAUGACUGAAACAUAGGUACCUUCUCUCACUACUUGACUCAUAGAAAUCUGCUGCAUUCUCACCACCUCAAACCAUGGAAAUGCCAGCUAUUCCAUUGUUCCUGUCUCUUCACAUUGUCUUUUCCGUGCAGUUCUCUUUUCUGCCAGCUUGUAUAGGCUCCAGAAGAUUAGUGAGCUCAUGGCGUAAACUGACUUUCAUGCAGAAAUGCAAUGCCAAUCAUUCUGGAAAGAGUUAAUCUUCACUUGGCUGUUGGGCAGGGUGGCCAAAUAUUGCAUUGUCAAAAUCAGGUCACUUUUGAGAAUAAAAGGGGCUCGAGGUAUAAACCAGGUCUUUUUUUGGGCAAUUACCCUAUUAAUGGGAAGGUAAAGAGCUCUUUGUUUGUAGGGCUCCCCUUGUGAGUAUAGGAAGCCACAGUCCUGUCUCCCUAGGAUAAAGUCUCAAGACCAAGGAGAUUCUCCUCUCUCUCUCCUCCCUAGUAUUCGGUUUAUCUGAGGGGAAGGGAUAGGGUAGUGCAGGUUAAUGGUGUAGGUAGUAAAGUGAGUUUGGCAACAGUCAAGGUGUCUGGCCCCCAAUUGUUUGUGCUUCAGUUCAGAAUUUUAGGUACUUGAUGCCCCUUUGUUCUUAGCUUUCAAUCCUUCAUAUCAGUUAUAGGGCAAGAGGAAAACUACUCAACAUCAACUGAAAUGUACAAAUUUAAUUAUAAAAAUCAGAUAUUUCAGGAAUCAUGAUUUAACAGAGAUUAAUGUAAUCUAGUUAUUUUCAACUAACCAUGUGGUAAAGGGUGUGGUUUUCCAGAACAAGGAUCCUAACACUCCAAGACUAUUGCCUUCUCAAUAACUUUCAUUCUACAAAUAUAUCAUUUAUCUUCUGUAUCAUUGACUUCUUCCGCUUUAUUGGAUAAUUCUCCACAGCCUAUGUAUAUUUUGUAAUACAUUAUCUCUCACCUUACCAAAAACUCCAUCUGUUUUGAUUCCAUGUUCUGUGCCUGCUGCUAUAUAAUUUCUCUGCUCCCUUCCAUUUAAAAAUUUCUCAAAAUAAUUGUUUAUAUAUGUUUUUGAACCAACUUUUCAUUUCUUCUGCAUCCUCCAAGCUUUCUUCCCUCUUCUAUACUCACAUUGCUCUUGUCAUGGUAACCAAAUUCAGUGGUCACUUUUAUGUCCUUAUCUUGACCUCAGCAGAAUUCAAUUGUGUUGGCCUUCCUCUGUCACGUCAUUCCUUAAUUUAUGGUCUGAGACAUAAACAUAAAUGGUUUUCUUUUUACUUCAAUUUUGGUCCAUUUCAAACUUCUUUGAGAACUUCUUUUUUUCCAAAUCCUCAAACAUAAGCCGUUUCUUAUAAUCCCAUCCCUUAGGCAUAGGAGUGAGCAUAUGAUUCAGUUUGUGCUAAUGAAACACGAGAAGAGAUUUGCUCAAGAUUUCUGGGACUAACCUGACUAUGUCUUCUGAAAGAAAGCGAGUUCUUGAUAAGAUCACUUUUGAGACACCUCCCCGCCCCUCCUCCCCUCAUAUUUUAGAUCUUCCAAGCAGGAAAGCCAAUGGAUCUCACUUAUUGUUUAAGCCAGUUUCAUUCGUGUUUCCUGUUGGCUCCAUUUGAAUUCCUCCCAAGAAGCAGGGUGACUUAGAAGAAAGAGUAGACAGCUCUGCUUCUUUUAGUGUUUCCAAAAACCUGAAAGGUGAAAAUUUUUGUUCUUAAAAGAAAGAAAAGCAGUAAAGAAAUGGAGAAACUCGAUAACUUUAUAACCCAUUUGGGUUGCAAUGUUUUCACCAUAGCCUCAAUAUUGUGUGAAAAAUAAGCAUCAGGAAAUGUGUGUUCAUGUGGGUACAGACGUUAUGAUACAACAGAGCAACUGCUUUCCCCUUAGUUAUUGACGUACCUUACUCUCACAUGUGUUUGAACAUUGAAUGGGCUAUCCAGAAAAUUGAUCAUGAGAUGAAAGCAAGCAUAAUCAAAAGGAUGCUAUUACCAAAGAAUGAGAAAUUGUAAACUGAAGCAAAAGGGAUAGUUUUACCUUAGCAAUACGAUAAAAAGAAUGAGAUUACUGAAAGCACACCAUAAUCCACUUCCCCACUUUACUGGCUUGGUUUAGCGGUGAGACGUCUCAAGAUCCAUGAAAGGCACACGUUACUACUGCUUUCUUCACCUCCCCACUCCCUCUCUUCCAAUCUGUUUGAAUUUAUAUCCUUUUGGGCAGGAAAACUGAAUCAUAUUAAUAUUUAUUUCCUCCAUUAUGGUAUAAAGUUUAGUCUUUGAACCAUUCAGAACCCAAAAAAACAUUCUUUCAAUAAGAAAACUGAUUCUUGCAACCAAAAGUUUGUGCUUUUAAAACUAGUAUCUCUAUUUUGAUGUUAAUAACCCAUUUUGACAGUCAAAAAUCUAGGCUUUGAGAGUUUAUCUUACUAGUUUGGCUCUCCUCUAAGUCAAUAAAUCUGAGCCUCACGUCCAAUUUUAACUAUGGGAAGGGUCACAGUAAAAGGUGUUUCUGAGAACAGAAAUAAUCCCUUUGGAUUACUAUUUCAAAACAUUAGCCUACUGUGGAUAUAAAUUUAUAUAAACCAGAGGCUUCAAGUGCCUUCUCUUUCCUUCUCAGUGAGUGCUUCUCCUAAUCUGCUAGAUAUUUAGAAGUUAAAGCUUAAAUGUCUCUUCAUACGUCCUCUGCAUAUGUUCCUCUGUGGUAAUGGGUCUCUCUGCUGAUGCUCUUCGGGCUGCCUUUUGGUGUUAUUGAUUAUCACUUGUACCACUAUUGUAUUGUAAGGAUCACUGAGGGGACUAACAGCUCUUCCUUGAUUGGGCCUUGGAGUAAAUGAAUGGAGCGAUCUUCUCUAUUUUUCACACCUGACAUUCAGCCUCCAGAAGACUAAUACACCCAACUGCGGGCAUAUGAGUCAGGGAACUUUCAUACGGAAAUUACAACACGGAAGAGAAAAAAUGAAAGAUCUAGUCGAUUGAGACUUCCCUUUGAACCUGCUGUCUGGGUUCACAUACACUCACCAAGCUUAAAAAUAAAACACCAGUUAUUUUGCCAGCCAAAUGGCUUUAUUUGGGAAUGGCAGAGGAAUCGGAAUUCAGGAUAUGCAAGCUGUGGUGAAAGACAGGCAAGCCCGAAGAGACAAAGAGCAGGUCAGAUUUUACUAAGUUUUAGAAGGAAAUUGGGGAGAGUUGCGUUUGGACGACAGCUCAUUGGAGAAGAAGAAGAGCUGGAGCUGGUGGCCGUUCCUCCUUGGCUGCACGCGGUGGUCAGGGCGCUGUUACUGGGGGUUGGGAGGGAUCUUCCAUUUUUUUCUUAAAAGCAGGAGAUAAAAUUCCCACGUGGUUAAUGUUCUCCCUUGUCAAAAUAAUUAUCUUCCUUCUUCCUGCUCAUUGUGCGGCUGCAACGAGUGGUACGUGUGUUAGAGCCCCUCUUCAGGCCUCCCAACUCCAUUUUCAAUGAGGUGUCCUUUACUUAUUUCCACAAUCUUUACAGAUACAUCUUAAUUAGGAGGACACUGCCAGGAUGACUCUCUGCUUCCCUGACCUCAGGGUCAUUACUUCUGAUCAACCAGCAUUAUCUCCUCCCAAGACCUGCAGGAUUCUGAAGAAUUCCAGCCUCCCUACUGUUGCCUCUUACAUAGAUUCAUGUUGAAUAUGUAUUUCCCAGCAUCUAGAGAUGCUGAUUCAGUGCACUUGGUGACAGGUGUCUCAAUGACAAAGACAGGAGGCCUUUAAAAUCUUCAGUUGGGGAGUGUCAGGAUGGGUAUGACACAGGCCCACGCUGGCAAUCUAAAAUGAAGGCUGUUGGCAUAAUUGCUUUUCAUUCAAAAGUUAAGAAAUGCAGCUGCGUCCUCUUCACCUCCAGUUCUUGGAAUCUCUAUGCAUGGGAUGGAGAAUUGCCUCCUUCAUUUCUGAAUUUCUGUUCCCUCCUUCUUUAAACUAACUAAAGAUCAAUGAACUGAGUGCUAUUCUGGUUCUCACUAGACUUACCCUGGCCGAAAUAAUCCAUUUAGCAGGAAAAUAAAUCUAACGUAAAG
Equus caballus (horse) is the source of this 11365-nucleotide non-coding RNA. The record is from RefSeq and is a predicted model, not a curated record. NCBI's taxonomy places the organism in Eukaryota, Metazoa, Chordata, Mammalia, Perissodactyla, Equidae.